GAUGAACGCUGGCGGCGUGCCUAAUACAUGCAAGUCGAGCGAACAGACGAGGAGCUUGCUCCUCUGACGUUAGCGGCGGACGGGUGAGUAACACGUGGAUAACCUACCUAUAAGACUGGGAUAACUUCGGGAAACCGGAGCUAAUACCGGAUAAUAUAUUGAACCGCAUGGUUCAAUAGUGAAAGACGGUUUUGCUGUCACUUAUAGAUGGAUCCGCGCCGCAUUAGCUAGUUGGUAAGGUAACGGCUUACCAAGGCAACGAUGCGUAGCCGACCUGAGAGGGUGAUCGGCGACACUGGAACUGAGACACGGUCCAGACUCCUACGGGAGGCAGCAGUAGGGAAUCUUCCGCAAUGGGCGAAAGCCUGACGGAGCAACGCCGCGUGAGUGAUGAAGGUCUUCGGAUCGUAAAACUCUGUUAUUGGGGAAGAACAAAUGUGUAAGUAACUAUGCACGUCUUGACGGUACCUAAUCAGAAAGCCACGGCUAACUACGUG
This 497-nucleotide ribosomal RNA is filed under the name uncultured bacterium. RNAcentral's name for it is "partial 16S ribosomal RNA". It matches the Rfam family "Bacterial small subunit ribosomal RNA", at positions 28 to 507 of the family's 1533-position model. The record is from RNAcentral.